GAUGAACGCUGACAGAAUGCUUAACACAUGCAAGUCAACUUGAAUUUGGGUUUUUAACUUAGAUUUGGGUGGCGGACGGGUGAGUAACGCGUAAAGAACUUGCCUCACAGUUAGGGACAACAUUUAGAAAUGAAUGCUAAUACCUGAUAUUAUGGUUAUAGGGCAUCCUAUAAUUAUGAAAGCUAUAAGCACUGUGAGAGAGCUUUGCGUCCCAUUAGCUAGUUGGAGAGGUAACGGCUCACCAAGGCGAUGAUGGGUAGCCGGCCUGAGAGGGUGAACGGCCACAAGGGGACUGAGACACGGCCCUUACUCCUACGGGAGGCAGCAGUGGGGAAUAUUGGACAAUGGACCGAGAGUCUGAUCCAGCAAUUCUGUGUGCACGAUGAAGUUUUUCGGAAUGUAAAGUGCUUUCAGUUGGAAAAAAAAAAGACGGUACC
RNAcentral lists this ribosomal RNA (437 nucleotides) under Fusobacterium sp. oral taxon H27. Its description in RNAcentral is "bacterial SSU rRNA". It matches the Rfam family "Bacterial small subunit ribosomal RNA", at positions 28 to 479 of the family's 1533-position model. The record is from RNAcentral. Lineage: Bacteria; Fusobacteriati; Fusobacteriota; Fusobacteriia; Fusobacteriales; Fusobacteriaceae.